Molecule: ribosomal RNA, 468 nt
Filed under: uncultured bacterium
Lineage: Bacteria
Description: partial 16S ribosomal RNA
Rfam family: Bacterial small subunit ribosomal RNA
Source: RNAcentral
GACGAACGCUGGCGGCGUGCUUAACACAUGCAAGUCGAACGGAAAGGCCCUGCUUUUGUGGGGUGCUCGAGUGGCGAACGGGUGAGUAACACGUGAGUAACCUGCCCUUGACUUUGGGAUAACUUCAGGAAACUGGGGCUAAUACCGGAUAGGAGCUCCUGCUGCAUGGUGGGGGUUGGAAAGUUUCGGCGGUUGGGGAUGGACUCGCGGCUUAUCAGCUUGUUGGUGGGGUAGUGGCUUACCAAGGCUUUGACGGGUAGGCGGCCUGAGAGGGUGACCGGCCACCUUGGGCCUGAGAUACGGCGCAGUCUGCAACGGGAGGCAGCAGUGGGAAAUAUUGCACAAUGAGCGGGAGUCUGAUGCGACAGCGCCGCGUGCGGGAUGACGGCCUUCGGGUUAUAAACCGCUUUCGCCUGUGACGAAGCGUGAGUGACGGUAAUGGGUAAAGAAGCACCGGCUAACUACGUG